GCGGGUAUAGUUCAGUGGUAGAACGAUAGCCUUCCAAGCUAUAUACACGGGUUCGAAUCCCGUUACCCGCU
This 71-nucleotide transfer RNA is filed under the name Anaerolineaceae bacterium. RNAcentral's name for it is "tRNA-Gly". It matches the Rfam family "tRNA". From Rfam's summary of the family: Transfer RNA (tRNA) molecules are approximately 80 nucleotides in length. Their secondary structure includes four short double-helical elements and three loops (D, anti-codon, and T loops). Further hydrogen bonds mediate the characteristic L-shaped molecular structure. tRNAs have two regions of fundamental functional importance: the anti-codon, which is responsible for specific mRNA codon recognition, and the 3' end, to which the tRNAs corresponding amino acid is attached (by aminoacyl-tRNA synthetases). tRNAs cope with the degeneracy of the genetic code in two manners: having more than one tRNA (with a specific anti-codon) for a particular amino acid; and 'wobble' base-pairing, i.e. permitting non-standard base-pairing at the 3rd anti-codon position. The record is from RNAcentral. Lineage: Bacteria; Bacillati; Chloroflexota; Anaerolineae; Anaerolineales; Anaerolineaceae. RNAcentral also lists the same sequence under 1 other name.